GAUGAACGCUAGCUACAGGCUUAACACAUGCAAGUCGAGGGGAAACGACAUCGAAAGCUUGCUUUUGAUGGGCGUCGACCGGCGCACGGGUGAGUAACGCGUAUCCAACCUGCCCAUCACUUGGGAAUAACCUUGCGAAAGUAAGACUAAUACCCAAUGACAUCCCACGAAGACAUCUGAAUGGGAUUAAAGAUUUAUCGGUGAUGGAUGGGGAUGCGUCUGAUUAGCUUGUUGGCGGGGUAACGGCCCACCAAGGCAACGAUCAGUAGGGGUUCUGAGAGGAAGGUCCCCCACAUUGGAACUGAGACACGGUCCAAACUCCUACGGGAGGCAGUAGUGAGGAAUAUUGGUCAAUGGGCGAGAGCCUGAACCAGCCAAGUAGCGUGCAGGAGGACGGCCCUAUGGGUUGUAAACUGCUUUUAUAAGGGAAUAAAGUGGGUCUCGUGAGACUUUUUGCAUGUACCUUAUGAAUAAGGACCGGCUAAUUCCGUG
This 492-nucleotide ribosomal RNA is filed under the name uncultured bacterium. Its description in RNAcentral is "partial 16S ribosomal RNA". It matches the Rfam family "Bacterial small subunit ribosomal RNA", at positions 28 to 507 of the family's 1533-position model. The record is from RNAcentral.